UUAAGUUCAGCGGGUAUCCCUACCUGAUCCGAGGUCAACACUUAGAAAGUACUCCGAAGAGUAGUGGUUAAAGACCGCCGCCCGCAGAUUCACGCCGUGUACAUGCUUGGUUAAAAGCUCCUCGUACCGGUUCCAUCUGGGACGCCGUCACUAUCUUUGAGGCCCAUAACUGUUAUGUUAUGAAAGUCCAACACCAAGCC
Molecule: unclassified non-coding RNA, 200 nt
Filed under: Rhinocladiella sp.
Lineage: Eukaryota; Fungi; Ascomycota; Eurotiomycetes; Chaetothyriales; Herpotrichiellaceae
Description: partial internal transcribed spacer 2
Source: RNAcentral